Callithrix jacchus (white-tufted-ear marmoset) is the source of this 919-nucleotide non-coding RNA. Lineage: Eukaryota; Metazoa; Chordata; Mammalia; Primates; Cebidae. The record is from RefSeq and is a predicted model, not a curated record.
UCUCUAUGUUACCCAGACUGGUCUUGAACUGCUGGGCUCAAGGCAUCCUCCUGCCUCAGCCUCCCAAGGUGUGAGUCAUCAUGCCCAGCUACAGGCUGGGAUUUUAAACCAGAGCUAGUGGCCUUUCGAAUAGAGGUAUCUGCCUGUUUUAGAUUCCAGACCCCCACCCUUGUCCCUACCCACAUCACUCCUCCUUCAUCAAGAAGGAAGAGCAAAGAAAACCUUCCCUUGGAACAUCAGGCAAGGCUCUCUGCUUCCUGUGUCACUAUGAUAACCAGCCCUAGUCAAUUUCCUCACAAGGAAGCGGGGGAAGGGAAGGUCAAACAGAGCUUCCCCGGCAACAUUCUGUGGGCAAACACAGGGCCAGUGUGCUCGAGCCUCUGUGUUCUCAUUUAAAUGAGGUGAAUCACUCCUGGAAUUGGAGCUGGGAAGCAGGCCAUGUUCCUAAGGAGCCAAUGGCACCCAGCCAUAUUGAAGAAGCCCCAGAAACUCCAGGGCCGUGAGAACCACAACAAGAGCCACAUCUGCAAGAACCAGGAGUAACUGAAUGCUGUGAUAAUGCUGGUGACAGCAAUUACAACAGAUGUCACCCAUAUGAUGUGGGAAGGCUGGUCUGAGACAACCCACUUCAAAAGGAAAUAGCUUCUGCCCUACCGCUAUUCUUACAAACCUUGGUCAGUGUGCAGACACAUCAGUGGUACCAAAACAGAGCUAGAGCUGCCAUCGCUGAUGGUGAUUGGGCAACUAAAAAGUUCUAGGGGAGGGAAAGCCCUAAAGCAGUCCAUCAUCCCAAAGACAAAAUUCCUCAGCAGAAGAGCCAAGAAGAGUAAUGGCCUAUGUGUGUGGCGGGGAAGGGAUCUGUGCCCUGCGGGUGUGAAGCCACAAGAAGUCAAUUAAACGAUAAAUACUUUGGAAAAUA